RNAcentral lists this ribosomal RNA (501 nucleotides) under uncultured bacterium. Its description in RNAcentral is "partial 16S ribosomal RNA". It matches the Rfam family "Bacterial small subunit ribosomal RNA", at positions 30 to 523 of the family's 1533-position model. The record is from RNAcentral.
AUUGAACGCUGGCGGCAGGCUUAACACAUGCAAGUCGAGCGGGGGGAGGUAGCUUGCUACCGGACCUAGCGGCGGACGGGUGAGUAAUGCUUAGGAAUCUGCCUAUUGGUGGGGGACAACAUCUCGAAAGGGAUGCUAAUACCGCAUACGUCCUACGGGAGAAAGCAGGGGAUCUUCGGACCUUGCGCUAAUAGAUGAGCCUAAGUCGGAUUAGCUAGUUGGUGGGGUAAAGGCCUACCAAGGCGACGAUCUGUAGCGGGUCUGAGAGGCUGAUCCGCCACACUGGGACUGAGACACGGCCCAGAGUCCUACGGGAGGCAGCAGUGGGGAAUAUUGGACAAUGGGGGGAGCCCUGAUCCAGCCAUGCCGCGUGUGUGAAGAAGGCCUUAUGGUUGUAAAGCACUUUAAGCGAGGAGGAGGCUCUUUUGGUUAAUACCCAAGACGAGUGGACGUUACUCGCAGAAUAAGCACCGGCUAACUCUGUGCCAGCAGCCGCCGCCG